UUUAAAACUUUCAAACUGAACUUUACAUAACUGAAUAUGAAAACAUUUAGUUAUUUACAUGCUUUAUAAUACAUUCAUUUAUAUGUCUCUGUACAUCAAAAUGUGUAACAUGAAACCAAAAUGGUAAACUACUGAACUCUGGUGUCAGCUAGCUAAACUGCAGGGCCCUUGCCUCGAUCCUCAGCUACAACACUCGCACUGGAACCUGUAUGGUUAGUGGUGUGAGAACUACAAAAAAGUUCCCAGUGGGUUCGGCCGCCGACCUCGCCGACUCACCCACUAGGUCUACUCAGGCAUAUGUAGACAAAAGAAGUAAACAGAUAGUAACCAACUAAAACAUGUAACUACUACAAUGCCUGUGCAAAGCCGAAAGAAGCAAUAUAUGAAAACUGUAAAUAUGCAUGCAUGCUUUUACUGAAUUUACUCAAUCUUUUGGUUAACCCUCUGGUUAACAAUAACUCACUGACACUAUCCCAAAUUUCGGGGAGACGCAACCUGCACCCGACGGGACUGUCAACUGGGGGAGACGCAACCUCCUGGUCCAGUAAAGAUGACUACUCCGGAGCUCAUCGUUCAAGGAGGAGCGACCUUCCUUGAACAAAACUGAUGUGAGUAUGAUCUGAUUUUCCUUUAGAAGAUCCAAUGCUAAGCAAUGUCAUAUCUUAUUCCACUUAGUUCUCUAUGUCAGGUUUGAUACUAACCAAAUUUUCUAGUCAUAAUGUCACCGAGUUCACUAUGGUUAUAGUCUAUGCAUUCAUAGGGUCUAUAUUAACAUUCAAUGUUCAUAUGUUCUCACUAUUAGUAAGAAUUCAGAUAUUCCGUAAUAACUUACAUAAAGCCAAUACCCUAUAAUGCAUGAAUAUCAUGGUUCACACAUAAAUAUGCUCAAUGGAUAGUAUCAUAGACAUAAAAGGUGAUUCAAAGACUUCGGAUAGCACCACCCACCUGUAGUGGUGUCAAGAACUAAGAUCAAUGUCUCGGGACGCGUCGACAACUAUCUCUCGCGACCCAACGCAAAUAGAACUAGAACGGCCUCUACCGUAAUUAGCGCGUCGUCGACCUGUCGGAAAGUCAAUUUAGACUUUCGAGCAAGUUUAACUUUCAUGUAUAAAGGAUUAAAAGAGAUUAAACUGACAUCAUAGUCAUUUUUUAGCAAAACUUGCAUUUCUAGUCCAAUUAUCAAUGCAUAUACAUAUAUCAACUCAAUGCUGAUUUCAGCAUCAAGCUGAAAUCAGAUCUCUUGCUGUAUUUUCAGCAAUUCACUUCUUCUCGAGCCAUUAUUCUAAAUAUAGAACAAUUAGUUCUAUA
Molecule: long non-coding RNA, 1308 nt
Filed under: Ananas comosus (pineapple)
Lineage: Eukaryota; Viridiplantae; Streptophyta; Magnoliopsida; Poales; Bromeliaceae
Description: long non-coding RNA (ACOM_LNC041196)
Source: RNAcentral